AAAACAAAAACCAAACAAGGUUGUUUAUCCUUUUACAAGAUAGCAAGCCCCAAGUUUGCUAGUUUUAGGCUUGGUUAAUUCCGUGAUUCAACAACAGUGUGAAGGACCCAGAUUCCCUUUACCUGCUUUUCUUAGCCUGUCCCUUUUCACCCUGGAUGAGCCUCGCAUGGGCACAAACUAGCUGCCACAGCUCCAAACAUGGCAUCCUCCUCACAGAGUCAUAACCACAUGCUAGACGAUGAUAAAGCAGACUCUUGUAGUACUUGCCUUUAUUCACGAGGAAAACAUUUUCCACGAGGUCUCCCCGCAGACUUUGAAGUCCUUUUAAUCCGAAGAUCCCAGGCCAAGCCGUUAGCAGUCACGCAUCUGGUGGCUCUGCCUGUCCCAGGAGACAGGCUUCCUUAGACAGAAAGAAGAGUGUGCAGGCACAUGCUUUCAAUCAGUCACUCACAGUGUCCCGCCAGGCUGGGAGUCCAUUCAUGCUUCCUAAAGAAACCCAAGGGAGAUUUAUUGGAAAGCUGCAGAGGUAUCUCAGGGGCCCCCCGAAGAGGCAGUGCACUGGCCUUCACCGUGGACGUAAGGGACGAGCAUGCUCUCAGGAGCCAGCAUCCCCCUUCCGUCUCUCAGAGACCGUGAUCUCUGGUCUGUGUCACCACAUGUCACCGCCUUCUUUUCUCCCCGGACGCCACCUUUCUCUACGUCUCUGAGCCCAUGCUCAGGGGACUCUGAAGAUGCGAUUAAGCUGCACGUAUUGAGAUGGGGAGGUUAUCCUAGAUUGUCCAGGUGGGCCCCUGGAAUCGCCAGCAUCCUUAUAAUAAAGAAGCAGGAGGGUCGGAGUCGGAGAAGGAGCCGUGAUGGUAGAAGCAGAGGUCAGAGCCAUGAGGCCACGAGCCAAGCAAGGCAGGUGGGCAGCCUCCAGAAUCUGGAAAAGGCAAGGAAGGGCCUUUGGCCCUUUUGCUGACAUCUCCCUCCUCUUUACCCGUUUACCCCCCACCUGUCUUCGAGUUCUCACCUCCCUCACGGAAUUAGCAUGGUCACGCUCUCCUGUCACACUAACCUGGGCCACAUCCCCUAUGGCGUGUUCUCACAGCACCGCCAGCUGUCUCUCGUCCCUAACGCUGCUCAUGGCUGUGACCCUGCAUCCGGCCCUGGGUCUCCCACACUAUCCUGCGAGCGCCACGAGCACACAGACUGUGGAUUUUCCUCCCCGCCCUGCUGCCUCCAGGACAGGAAAAAAAUUUUUUUUUGUCUUUUGUCAUUUUUUAGGGUCGCACCUGCGGCAUAUGGAGGUUCCCAGGCUAGGGGUCAAAUCGGAGCUGUAGCUGCUGGCCUACACCACAGCCACAGCCACGCCAGAUCUGAGCCACAUCUGCGACCCACACCACAGCUCACGGCAGCACUGGAUGCUUAACCCACCGAGCGAGGCCAGGGAUCGAACCUGCAACCUCAUGGUUCCUUUCCUAUGCGCCACGACAGGAACUCCAAAAAGUAAAGUGAUUAAGUUCUAACUGGCAGCCUGCCCUCUGCUUCCGUGUCUGAAAGGGAUACAUUGUCAGAGCCGUCGGGGCGCCUACCGCACGCGGCGGGCUCGUUGGGCUGGGGAGGCCUGAAGGAGAGCUGACCACAGGCGAGCUUGCCGCCCUGAGCUCACGUGGUUUCAUGACACGCUUCCUUCCCCGUAUUCGGGCUGCGGGGAGAGAGGGAGUGCAACUGGGUGUGUUCUAAUUACUGUUGUGUUCAGCUUGGGUUCCCCUUUCCCUUUGCUUCUUUGUUCAGCUCACUCCAGAGCGUGUCUUAGACAAUAACAAACCAGCAAACUAAUGACGUAGCAGUGAGAAGAAAGUAACACUUAAUGAGCUCCUUUCUGCCGGGCACUGUGGUCGGCGGUUUACGUGGAUGAGCUCACUUGAUCCUCAUCCCAUCCUAGCGCGAUGCGAAGCAGAAUGUGCCCUGUUUUCCAGACGGGCACACCUUCACCGGGAGACCUGGCGAUGAGCCUGAGUGGCAGCCCUGGUUCGUGUGGUUUGGAGCGGGAGCACCAGCAGCCUGACUCCCAAGCCCGCAGCCCGAGAUGCGGCCACCUCGGCCCUUGUGGGGACAAAGUUAUUCCACGUCCGCCUGUGGGACCCUGUGCUGGGAGAGAGCAGUGAACGAGCCACGCUCGGGCUCUUGCCUCAUCUGCGGAAGAGACCCUCCCUUCCAAGUCGGCAGGACCCGGAGAGGGACUUGGGACGUGCCCCUCCCGGGGACGGCGCUGCCACACACCUGCUGUAUCGUCUGUCGCUCCCGUGACCUCUCAGCCUCCAUUUCCAGCUUUAAAUGUUGCCAGAUUCAGGCGGAUGCUCGGUCCGGAGGAGAGGCCCUUCCGCACACAGCCGUCCUCCCAGGGUUCAGCAGCCUGGAGUCACUGCAUAACCAGCCAAGGACCCCGAGCAUCAGGUAUGUAUGAGCCUAGGGUUAGCCUUGUAUGUUUCCGACCACCCCCGGGGCCAUCCACGCUGCCGGUGGUCCCAGCGAAGGCAGCUCGGCGCCCCGUGUUCCGGCAGGAGCUCAGGGCGCUCUGCGGCCCAUCAGCUCAGCGCCGCAGGCACGGUCGUUGCGCUGCACCUUCACAGCUCCGUCUCUGAGCCUCUCGGGGCAGCUCGAGCGGAGGGAUUACCGACUUCAUUUUGCAGAAAAGGAAAGGUGAGCCAUGGGGAAAGCCGUCUGCUCAGGACACAGCCCUUCUCUGGGCCGGAAGCCAGGGCUGAAAACGCUCCCUUCACUCCAUCCCAGAGGGCUUUCUCCCCUCUUAACACCGGCUUCGAAACGUGCAGACGGUGUUUGCAGACGAGCUGGGGGAUGGCUUGUACACAGAACGUGUUUACGCGCUGCGGCCUCGUUGUAAAAGCGCUGGUGCUGGAGAUACUGCACCACACCAACACCCACCUCAGCCCCGCUCCCCUCCCGAGUAGUUGCUCUUGUCACCUGGCUCGUGUCAUGCAGGACAUGUUCUGUGUAAUUACAUAUGUCAAAUGUACAUGCAAACGUGCAUGGUUUUGGUUUUAUAUAUAAAUCAGAUGAUGCAGCAUGUAAUAACUGCAACUUGCCUUCUCUUUUCUUUUUCUUUUUAAGCCCGCACCCCGGCAUAUGGACGUUCCUGGUCCAGGGGUUGAAUGGGUGCUGCAGCUGCUGGUCUACACCACGGCCACAGCAAUGCCGGAUUUGAACGGGGUUUGUGAUCUAUACUGCAGCUCACAGCAGCGCUGGAUCCUUAACCCACCAGUGGUGCCAGGGAUUGAACCUGCGUCCUCAAGGAUGCUCGUUAGGUUCAUUACUGCUGAGCCGCCCCGGGGACUCCCUCACCUUGCCUUGUCAACGGCACUCCUUCGCAUCUUCCUUGUCAGCAGGUGGCCCUUCAUUCUUUUCUGGGACUGAACUGCCCACAUGAAGGUCAGCUGGAGCUGUUUCAAGUUGGAGUGGCAGCAGCCACGCUGACUGGGCAGCUCCCCGGGGUCGGGUCGGGUCGGGGGAAGGCCCGGCCUCCUCCCUCCCUUUGCGGGACUGAGCCGCUUUGCUCCGUGGCACAGGCUUUGGAGUCAGCCUGCUCCCACCACGUCCUAGAAGCAAGGUGUUUAAGCUCACACAGCCCAGCUUCCCCAGAGUCGAGGGGCAGUGUCAGUGUUGGUGGGAGGAGGUGGGUGCAGAGCACUUGGCACACGACCUUAAAGACACUUUCAUUUCAUAAUGUGUUGUUGGCUUCUCUUAAUGGCCUCACCAGUUCUGCCUCUGCUUCCUACUAUCCUAAGGAAUGGAAGGUUCCAGAAAGGUAAGUUACAAAAAAGAGAGAGCCUUUUCCUAAUAAAGGGAAUUAGGGUGGAAGCAUCCUCCUUCCACUUGCAUCACGUUGUCCAUUCGGCGGACGGUCCGUGGGCCUUCACGCCUGCCGUGUGGGCUGUGCUGCCGUCUUACACGUGAGGAAACCGAGGCUCCAGGGACGGGGCAGAGCCGUCGCCUCGUCCCCCAGCAGUCCAGUCGCCUGAGGGAGUCAGAACGUGAGUCCAGGGAGUUCCCCUGUGCUGCAGCAGGUAGGGAUCCACUCUUGGCGGUGCAGUGGCUCCGUUGCUGCCGUGGUGCAGGGUCCAUCCCUUUCGACACCUGGCCUGAAGAGUUCCAGGUGCCACAGGUGUGG
RNAcentral lists this long non-coding RNA (4171 nucleotides) under Sus scrofa (pig). Its description in RNAcentral is "lncRNA (ENSSSCG00030064027.1)". Lineage: Eukaryota; Metazoa; Chordata; Mammalia; Artiodactyla; Suidae. The record is from RNAcentral.